This 409-nucleotide ribosomal RNA is filed under the name bacterium. RNAcentral's name for it is "partial 16S ribosomal RNA". It matches the Rfam family "Bacterial small subunit ribosomal RNA", at positions 355 to 776 of the family's 1533-position model. The record is from RNAcentral.
UGGGGAAUAUUGCACAAUGGGCGAAAGCCUGAUGCAGCGACGCCGCGUGAGGGAUGACGGCCUUCGGGUUGUAAACCUCUUUCAGCAGGGACGAAGCGCAAGUGACGGUACCUGCAGAAGAAGCACCGGCUAACUACGUGCCAGCAGCCGCGGUAAUACGUAGGGUGCAAGCGUUGUCCGGAAUUACUGGGCGUAAAGAGUUCGUAGGCGGUUUGUCGCGUCGUUUGUGAAAACCAGCAGCUCAACUGCUGGCUUGCAGGGGAUACGGGCAGACUUGGGUACUGCAGGGGAGACUGGAAUUCCUGGUGUAGCGGUGAAAUGCGCAGAUAUCAGGGGGAACACCGGUGGCGAAGGGGGGUCUCUGGGCAGUAACUGACGCUGAGGAACGAAGGCGUGGGUAGCGAACAGG